RNAcentral lists this unclassified non-coding RNA (666 nucleotides) under Bombus terrestris (buff-tailed bumblebee). Its description in RNAcentral is "misc RNA ENSBTSG00005020862.1". The record is from RNAcentral. Lineage: Eukaryota; Metazoa; Arthropoda; Insecta; Hymenoptera; Apidae.
UUGCCAUAAACUUCUACGCGGAAGACAAUAGACUCAGACAAUAAGACGCGUAAUAAGUCUGAGUCACGACAGCCUGGAAAUCCUUGAUCUUCCAUCCGUCAUUUCGAUAGUUACUCACGAAGAAAGAGAAGCAAGAAAAAAAGAAGGCGAGAAAAGAAACGACUUUCGUGAAACCAUCGAGGUCGUUUGCGAGGGUGUCGCUCCCAUCGUGAUUUUUUGAACACCGACAAAGAAGCAACGCAUUCUCACAUACCAGCUGGUUCUCGUUCCGUGGCGAAGGUCCCGAGCAAUUUCGUGGCACCGUAUACCCGUGUUCUCCACUUCCGGUUUAGCCAACGGUACCUUGUAGGGUUAUCGAACGUGCGUCUGCCAGGACUACCGUCUGACAUCUCUGUGAACAGGUACAUUAUAACGUUACGUGUGUGUACAGAAAUCGACGAGCAUGUUGUGGAUAGUCGGCGGUAUAGUUCGUCGAACAAACAAUAGUUACCUUCAAAUCAAAUUGCGAAUGAAUCAAUUUCUUCUUAUGUUGUCACACCAUUGACAGAAAUUUUAUGAUAGCCUCUGUACUAUAUGUACAUAGACUGCAGAAUCAACCUAUAAUUAGAAAAAUUACAAGUAUUUACAUUAUGUGUAAAAUGUAUAUUAUAGGUUAAGGUUAUAAUA